This is a long non-coding RNA of Uloborus diversus, 351 nucleotides long. RefSeq lists it as uncharacterized. Lineage: Eukaryota; Metazoa; Arthropoda; Arachnida; Araneae; Uloboridae. The record is from RefSeq and is a predicted model, not a curated record. The transcript has 4 exons.
ACACCGUUUCCUGGCGAUGAAAGAUGCUUCCAACUCAUGAUUCCUGUACAAAAGGUCAACCUUUUGUUUGGGGAUGGAGGACUAAAAAUAAGAAAAAUACAGACACUUUCUAAAGUAAAAAUAAUAAUGAUGGAUGAUAUUCCUGAGACAGUGGAGGAGAAACCUGUCUGGAUCUACGGUGAAGACUCUUGUGUGUUUGUUGCUAGAUUGAGAAUCAGUCUUUUGUUAAAUCCACAAACAUAAGUGAGGCUCAGACUGGCACGUGAAUCCAAUUAUUGUCAAGGCUAUGUAUCGUAAUAUUUAUGCUCAUGUAAACUUUUUUUUCUAUGUAAUAAAAUUCAAUGUAUGUUG